GCACCGAUGGUGUAUGGUACAUGCACCGAUACAAUGGGUGACUAUCGGCAUUGCGACGGCGAGCUGGGGUUUGAUUCCCCGUCGGUGCA
Molecule: non-coding RNA, 89 nt
Organism: Mycena leptocephala
Lineage: Eukaryota; Fungi; Basidiomycota; Agaricomycetes; Agaricales; Mycenaceae
Source: the annotation of a GenBank genome assembly